GAUGAAGAACGUAGCAAAAUGCGAUACUUGGUGUGAAUUGCAGAAUCCCGUGAACCAUCGAGUUUUUGAACGCAAGUUGCGCCCGAAGCCUUUUGGCCGAGGGCACGUCUGCCUGGGCGUCACGCAUCGCGUCGCCCCCCACAAUUCUCCGUAAAGGGAACAUGUGUUUUGGGGGCGGAUAUUGGUCUCCCGUGCUCAUGGCGUGGUUGGCCGAAAUAGGAGUCCUUUCGAUGGACGCACAAACUAGUGGUGGUCGUAAAAACCCUCUUCUUUUGUUUCGUGCUGUUGCUCGCAAGGUAAACUCUUUAAAAACCCCAAUGUGUCGUCUCUUGACGACGCUUCGACCGCGACCCCAGGUCAGGCGGGACUACCCGCUGAGUUUAAGCAUAUCAAUAAGCGGAGGA
This 404-nucleotide unclassified non-coding RNA is filed under the name soil metagenome. Its description in RNAcentral is "partial contains 5.8S ribosomal RNA, internal transcribed spacer 2, and large subunit ribosomal RNA". The stretch from base 1 to 122 matches the Rfam family "5.8S ribosomal RNA", at positions 35 to 154 of the family's 154-position model. The record is from RNAcentral.